This 146-nucleotide ribosomal RNA is filed under the name Trichomonas vaginalis G3. Its description in RNAcentral is "5.8S ribosomal RNA". It matches the Rfam family "5.8S ribosomal RNA". From Rfam's summary of the family: 5.8S ribosomal RNA (5.8S rRNA) is a component of the large subunit of the eukaryotic ribosome. It is transcribed by RNA polymerase I as part of the 45S precursor that also contains 18S and 28S rRNA. The record is from Rfam by way of RNAcentral. Lineage: Eukaryota; Parabasalia; Trichomonadida; Trichomonadidae.
GUCUCUAAGCAAUGGAUGUCUUGGCUCCUCACACGAUGAAGAACGUGGCAUAAUGUGUUAAGUAACCGGAGUUGCAAACAUCAUGACAGGUUAAUCUUUGAAUGCAAAUUGCGCUAAACUCGAUCUCGGUCGAGAAGCAUGGGUGU